ACCCCUCCUAAAGAUCAAAGUCGCUACACACGGUGCAAAUCUCUCGGUCUCUCUCCCGACGCGAGAGGCGGUUUCCAGGCGGGCUGCCUCCGCUGGUCUCCAUCGCCUCCGGUAAGCCGUCGGGCUCUCGGAGGUGUGCGGGACAGUGUACGACCGUGAUGCGGUUGUAGAUAAUGUUGUUUUAGGAUUUUAUUCUGGCACUGGCGGGCAGGCAGGGGCGACGUCAAUGCUAUGGGAUAAGGUUCCCCCUGGCUCCUUUCCCGUCUCUGCGGUGCUCCCUCCGGCCGGUGGCACUGUGGGGUUAGGGAGGUUGGCCUCUCUCUUAUCCAGCGAGGUUUGGUCGGUGAUGGGGGUGCACAAUAGUAUAGAAGUUGGGAUUUGUGGAGAGGGAUUCCCAGAUCAGGUCGCCUCGGACGGCCGACAGCUGCACACUGUUGCGGGCGAAGUGGUUUGAGUUGCGGCUCCACUCCGUCGUAGGCUACCGCUGGUCAAGGGAUCACUUGGUCUACCCCAGGCCGAUGCACCGGAACCCUCCCUGGUUCCGUCUUUUGGGGCGGGACUUAUAUGCGGCUCACAAAGCCAUGGAUCGGUGAUGCUGCUCCUCAUGCCCGUUGUCUUGUGGAUGACGGCUAGCACCGGCGAGUGCAGAGAUCAGCGUGCCUAGGUGAAUAAGGAAGAUGAACUGGGCUGUAAGUUACUUUGUUUGCUCUGUCGGUGUUAUUCCCUUUAGUGUUAUCUCUGCCUCUCUAGUUCUCAAGCUCCAACGACAUGCCCUUUUUUGUGCUGGCCAUGGAGGCUAGCAGCGGCAGGACUGCCAUGACUAGGCCGCGCAAUAUUUCUAACAGUGUUGAGCUACUCGUUCCCGACAGCUCCGAUGCCAAGCUGCCAAUAGAAGCAGAGCAGGUAUGUGUGUGAUGGAUCUUUUAAUGAUAAGUUUGCUUCCUGUUCGAUUAGGUGCAUAUUUCGCAAGGUAAUGUUGUUCUAUCAUGUCUCUGAUUUUGAUUUUGAUUUUGAUUUUUUCUGCAGAUUUCAGGAUAUAGAAGGCAGCUUCAGGAAGGGGUCGCUGACGAGGUGAGGCCAUUGCGUCUAUUCUUGUGUUAGUUUGUUUCAAAGAAAUCACACUAAUUUCUCUCAGUAUACUCUAUAGAGAAAUAAGUACUGAAGCAGGCUUCACCGAAGACUACUGAUCUAGAAUUGUCUGUUGCUGAAAUAAGUCCAGGAGCUAUGGAGCAGGCUGAACAAUUUUCUGUUGAUUUUACUCAAUGGAUUGUCCCUGUAAUUUGACCAAACGUCAUGUCGCCGUGCCACUGAAGUUUUUGCACAGAAUUCUUGUCUUUUUGGGUGGUGCCAAGCUGUCUUUUUGUUGAACAAUGCCACAAUUGCAUAGUUGUAAGUUAUUUAGGAUUGUCUCUAUUGCAUACGACCUGGAGUUACAAGAGGUCCAGUACUAAUUUUGUGUAUGUAUGUACAUGUGCAGUCGCCCAUUUUCUAUACACAUGAUUCCAAAACAUCUUUUACUGUACAUUUUGUUUCUUUGCUCGGUACAAAAUGUAUUGCAAGUGUUGUUCAUUUUUUUCCCUUCUGUAAAUAUACUAGAGACCCUCUAAGGGCUCAGUUUUCUUCCCGUUGUCUGAAUAUACCCAGAUUUAUUUUGUGUGUGCGUAUUUAACAAAGCAUUUAGUUAACC
RNAcentral lists this long non-coding RNA (1687 nucleotides) under Triticum aestivum (bread wheat). RNAcentral's name for it is "long non-coding RNA (TAES_LNC016246)". The record is from RNAcentral. Lineage: Eukaryota; Viridiplantae; Streptophyta; Magnoliopsida; Poales; Poaceae.